GCAACGCUAGCUCAGUUGGAUAGAGCAGGAGAUUGAAACUCUCCGGGUCGCGGGUUCGAUUCCCGCGCGUGCA
RNAcentral lists this transfer RNA (73 nucleotides) under Steroidobacteraceae bacterium. RNAcentral's name for it is "tRNA-Phe". It matches the Rfam family "tRNA". Rfam says of the family: Transfer RNA (tRNA) molecules are approximately 80 nucleotides in length. Their secondary structure includes four short double-helical elements and three loops (D, anti-codon, and T loops). Further hydrogen bonds mediate the characteristic L-shaped molecular structure. tRNAs have two regions of fundamental functional importance: the anti-codon, which is responsible for specific mRNA codon recognition, and the 3' end, to which the tRNAs corresponding amino acid is attached (by aminoacyl-tRNA synthetases). tRNAs cope with the degeneracy of the genetic code in two manners: having more than one tRNA (with a specific anti-codon) for a particular amino acid; and 'wobble' base-pairing, i.e. permitting non-standard base-pairing at the 3rd anti-codon position. Lineage: Bacteria; Pseudomonadati; Pseudomonadota; Gammaproteobacteria; Steroidobacterales; Steroidobacteraceae. The record is from RNAcentral.